This 58-nucleotide non-coding RNA is filed under the name Brevundimonas sp. AAP58. Its description in RNAcentral is "sul1 RNA". It matches the Rfam family "sul1 RNA". Lineage: Bacteria; Pseudomonadati; Pseudomonadota; Alphaproteobacteria; Caulobacterales; Caulobacteraceae. The record is from Rfam by way of RNAcentral.
UCUGGACCGGCACACGCACCGCCGGUGGCUAUCCUGGCCGCCCAUCCGCCAGGAAACC